This 481-nucleotide ribosomal RNA is filed under the name uncultured bacterium. Its description in RNAcentral is "partial 16S ribosomal RNA". It matches the Rfam family "Bacterial small subunit ribosomal RNA", at positions 28 to 507 of the family's 1533-position model. The record is from RNAcentral.
GAUGAACGCUGGCGGCGUGCUUAACACAUGCAAGUCGAACGAAGCAUUUGCGACAGAUUUUUUCGGAAUGAAGUUGCUUAUGACUGAGUGGCGGACGGGUGAGUAACGCGUGGGUAACCUGCCUUGUACUGGGGGAUAGCAGCUGGAAACGGCUGGUAAUACCGCAUAAGCGCACAAUGUUGCAUGACAUGGUGUGAAAAACUCCGGUGGUAUAAGAUGGACCCGCGUCUGAUUAGCUAGUUGGUGAGAUAACAGCCCACCAAGGCGACGAUCAGUAGCCGACCUGUGAGAGUGACCGGCGACAUUGGGACGGAGACACGGCCCAGACUCCUACGGGAGGCAGCAGUGGGGAAUAUUGCACAAUGGAGGAAACUCUGAUGCAGCGACGCCGCGUGAGUGAAGAAGUAAUUCGUUAUGUAAAGCUCUAUCAGCAGGGAAGAUAGUGACGGUACCUGACUAAGAAGCUCCGGCUAAAUACGUG